Long non-coding RNA from Chinchilla lanigera (long-tailed chinchilla), 1174 nucleotides. RefSeq lists it as uncharacterized. The transcript has 5 exons. The record is from RefSeq and is a predicted model, not a curated record. NCBI's taxonomy places the organism in Eukaryota, Metazoa, Chordata, Mammalia, Rodentia, Chinchillidae.
AUGAACCAAAACAAAUCUCUCUUCCUUUGGUUAUUGCAAGUAUUUUGUCAUGGUAACAGGAAGCUGAGUAACACAGAGAGCAAGGAUACGCUUGAGUCCAGUGUCAUUAUCCAUUGCAGUCCAGCACUGAGAACCUAUGAGGUUACCAUCAAGUUUCCUUCCUGCUGAACUUAACCAAGUCUGCAGUUGGACAGAGGAGAUGAGGCAAUACAAUUUGCUUCAUAAAAAUUGAUGAUAGUUGUCAUCACCAUCAUCUCUGCAGAGCACUACUUGGCAGUGAUGUUUGUGCUUGGCACAUGGUUAUUGCUUUUGUACAAAGGAUUGCAACUACCAGGAAAGGGGAAGAAUAUGGAGGUGCACACUUCGAAGACCUUACAGGCUUGUCUGCAAGUAGCACACUUCCUUUCCAUCGGGCAGAGUGUGGCCACAGGAUCAGCCAGCGCUAGGAGGCCUCACGGCGAUGUGGUGUCCGUUUGGCAGCACAGCAAGCGCACACAUCUCCAUCACCAUGGAAAAACAGGGUAUGACGAGGCUCCCUUCUUCCUCUGCUUCCUCGCUUCCAUGACAUAAGCAGCAUUUCCUCCGCUUCAUCUCUCUGCCACACUGUUUCAUCUUUGGAGCUGGUCAACCGUGGUCUGACAUUCUCCAUUGUCAGCUAAACCCAGGUGAAGAGGAAAAUGGAAGCAGCAUUUCCAGGCCCACCCAGCGCCCUCUUCUCAGCACUGGAGAUUGAGAAUGGGGUUUGUCCAUGACAGGAAUAUGCUCUCACACUGAGCCACCUCCCCAUAGUGCAUGGUUGGCAAUGUGGAAGGGAAGGCAAGAGGCCUCCCUGAGGAGAAGCUCUUCCGCUGUGUUCACCGGUGAGGUCACAGAAUAACUCAGAACUCACUGACGGGAACGUUGCUCUCUCCAACACUGGUCAGAAAUGUGUUCUAAUUGAUCAGGUGUUGUGGUUUUUCAAGAUAGCGUUUGAGUAGAAGCCUGAGUGAUGAAAAGGAGCCAACCACGUGGAUAUCUGGGGAAGGGUUUUCCAGGCAGAGGGGAUAGCAAGUGAAGGACUCAGAGAUGAGAAACUAAAAGACAAUAUCUGAAUAUUCAGUGAUAUAUACAGUCAACAUUCCCUAUCUUCAGAUUCUGUAUCUAUAUUCACCCAACUAUAGAAUGAAAAUAAAGU